RNAcentral lists this long non-coding RNA (741 nucleotides) under Lactuca sativa (garden lettuce). RNAcentral's name for it is "long non-coding RNA (LSAT_LNC004497)". Lineage: Eukaryota; Viridiplantae; Streptophyta; Magnoliopsida; Asterales; Asteraceae. The record is from RNAcentral.
UUCUUUAAGGUUUUACCCUAAGAAUCGAUUAUACUUUCUUCAUUCAUUCCUAAGGGUUUACCUGAGGAACUGGCACACAGUCCAUUUGCUACCACGGUUUAUACAAUAAGUACUACGUCGCAUAGUCACCAGGGUUCAUACAAUUGGCACUACGUCUCAUAGUCACCAGGUCUUACACAAUAGGCACUACGUCUCAUAGUCACCUGGGUUCAUACAAUUGGCACUACGUCUCAUAGUCACCAGGGCUUACACAAUAGGCACUACGUCUCAUAGUCACCUGGGUUCAUACAAUUGGCACUACGUCUCAUAGUCACCAGGGCUUACACAAUAGGCACUACGUCUCAUAGUCACCUGGGUUCAUACAAUUGGCACUACGUCUCAUAGUCACCAGGACUUACACAAUAGGCACUACGUCUCAUAGUCACCUGGGUUCAUACAAUUGGCACUACGUCUCAUAGUCACCAGGACUUACACAAUAGGCACAUCGUCACCAAAGUUUAUCAAAUAGGCACAAAGUCGCAUCGUCACCAACUAUUCCAUCUACCCAUGUUCUACCCAACAUUUUUGUAGAUAUAAAUACAAACACAAUUUGAAUCAUUUAACAGCCGUAUAAAAACAUCAAUUCCAAAUCCAUCUCAAAUAGAUAUAUAACACCUAGCACGUAUUUCAUAGCUAAUACUUUAUAUUUAUGUAUUAGAAGAAAGUGCUAUGCACUCACGCAUAUAAACAACAAUAUAUAUA